UACAGAGGUCCCAAGCGUUGUUCGGAUUCAUUGGGCGUAAAGGGCGCGUAGGCGGCGGGGUAAGUCUGGUGUGAAAUCUCGGAGCUCAACUCCGAAAUUGCACUGGAUACUGCUCUGCUAGAGGGCUGGAGAGGAGAUCGGAAUUCACGGUGUAGCAGUGAAAUGCGUAGAUAUCGUGAAGAAGACCAGUGGCGAAGGCGGAUCUCUGGACAGCUCCUGACGCUGAGGCGCGAAGGCUAGGGGAGCAAACGGG
RNAcentral lists this ribosomal RNA (253 nucleotides) under uncultured bacterium. RNAcentral describes it as "partial 16S ribosomal RNA". It matches the Rfam family "Bacterial small subunit ribosomal RNA", at positions 524 to 776 of the family's 1533-position model. The record is from RNAcentral.